Molecule: non-coding RNA, 86 nt
Organism: Cajanus cajan (pigeon pea)
Lineage: Eukaryota; Viridiplantae; Streptophyta; Magnoliopsida; Fabales; Fabaceae
Source: Rfam
AUGCACGUGCCAAAUCGCCGCCGUUCGUGUUGCAGUUUAGCCCCAAUUUCCCACGGCUGAUCUGUGUCAAAGUAACGGCCAAAUUC